RNAcentral lists this ribosomal RNA (233 nucleotides) under uncultured bacterium. RNAcentral describes it as "partial 16S ribosomal RNA". It matches the Rfam family "Bacterial small subunit ribosomal RNA", at positions 100 to 334 of the family's 1533-position model. The record is from RNAcentral.
CGGGACGGGUGAGUAAUGCCUGGGAAACUGCCUGAUGGAGGGGGAUAACUACUGGAAACGGUAGCUAAUACCGCAUAACGUCGCAAGACCAAAGAGGGGGACCUUCGGGCCUCUUGCCAUCGGAUGUGCCCAGAUGGGAUUAGCUAGUAGGUGGGGUAACGGCUCACCUAGGCGACGAUCCCUAGCUGGUCUGAGAGGAUGACCAGCCACACUGGAACUGAGACACGGUCCAG